UACAGAGGGUGCGAGCGUUGUUCGGAAUUAUUGGGCGUAAAGGGCGCGUAGGCGGUGCGGUAAGUCACCUGUGAAAUCUCCUGGCUCAACUGGGAGCUUGCAGGCGAAACUGCCGUGCUGGAGUGUGGGAGAGGUGAGUGGAAUUCCCGGUGUAGCGGUGAAAUGCGUAGUUAUCGGGAGGAACACCUGUGGCGAAAGCGGCUCACUGGACCACAACUGACGCUGAGGCGCGAAAGCUAGGGGAGCAAACAGG
This 253-nucleotide ribosomal RNA is filed under the name uncultured bacterium. RNAcentral's name for it is "partial 16S ribosomal RNA". It matches the Rfam family "Bacterial small subunit ribosomal RNA", at positions 524 to 776 of the family's 1533-position model. The record is from RNAcentral.